AAUCGAGCCACGGCUGCAGGUCACUUAAGUCCGGCCCGGCUUGUUUUGCUCCCUCUGUUGAGAGAUGACCUUAAAACGCCUCCAAGCCCAUCAAUGUUGAGUGGCCUCCUUCCACUCUGGCCUUGAUAUCUCAGGAUGACCUGGAUUUCACUCACUUGGUCUCACUUUUUCCUCCCCCCUUCUCCGUCUGCGACAUUAGAGUGACCCCAUGACUAAAUCUCAAACUUCACAGUUCUCCCUGUAACAUCAAAACAACACAUUGCUUCUCUGAACUCUUCUUCGCAUGGAAGGGAGCCAGACUCCUUGUCAGGCAAUAUGUGGGGCGAUACAGUAUGUCUAUAUUAGCAAGUGUUUACGUGGAGGUUCAAAUAUUUAUAUGGCAAAAACAUAAGCAUGUAAUAAAUAAUCUAGACAAACAAUGUUCUAUAAUCCAAUGUUGUGUCAGCAGGGAGGAUACCAUCUGCUUGUUUGGAGAACGAUAAUCGUAUCAUAGAUUUCAUUACCUCAGAUAAAUGGUCAAGACUGGAGGCUCUUCUCAACUAUGGGAACAGAGUGCUUUCAGGGCAAGAGUAAGAAAAACAAAUGAGAUUUCCACGUAGCACUUGAGGGACAUAAGAACUUUUCAAACAUGGAAUCUGUAACAUCGCUGGCUUCAUGAGUUUGGUCAACUGACGGCACUCUGUCAUUAAAUGUCUGCCAAUAAAAACAUCCUGACUGCUGUGAUGGAGCUCAGGACUCAACCAGAGGUGCUCUGUAAUGAGUGAUUUAACUGUAACAUUAACAUGAUACUAUAAACUGUGACUGUGUGUGUGACAGCUCAUUAGUUUGAGGUGAGGAAAAGUACACUGUGUGACUUGCUACUCCUGACCUGUACUGAUCCUGUUUCCAUGUCGCAGAUAAUGCACAAUUUAAAUAAUGAAGUUCCUGCU
Acanthochromis polyacanthus (spiny chromis) is the source of this 929-nucleotide long non-coding RNA. RefSeq lists it as uncharacterized. The record is from RefSeq and is a predicted model, not a curated record. Lineage: Eukaryota; Metazoa; Chordata; Actinopteri; Pomacentridae. The transcript has 2 exons.